UACAGAGGGUGCGAGCGUUAAUCGGAAUAACUGGGCGUAAAGGGCGCGUAGGCGGUUUUGAAAGUAAGAUGUGAAAGCCCUGGGCUCAACCUAGGAAUUGCAUCUUAAACUUUGAGGCUAGAGUACAGUAGAGGGUGGCGGAAUUUCCGGUGUAGCGGUGAAAUGCGUAGAGAUCGGAAGGAACAUCAGUGGCGAAGGCGGCCACCUGGACUGACACUGACGCUGAGGCGCGAAAGCGUGGGGAGCAAACAGG
This 253-nucleotide ribosomal RNA is filed under the name uncultured bacterium. RNAcentral's name for it is "partial 16S ribosomal RNA". It matches the Rfam family "Bacterial small subunit ribosomal RNA", at positions 524 to 776 of the family's 1533-position model. The record is from RNAcentral.